This 392-nucleotide ribosomal RNA is filed under the name uncultured bacterium. Its description in RNAcentral is "partial 16S ribosomal RNA". It matches the Rfam family "Bacterial small subunit ribosomal RNA", at positions 523 to 918 of the family's 1533-position model. The record is from RNAcentral.
AUACGUAUGUCGCAAGCGUUAUCCGGAUUUAUUGGGCGUAAAGCGCGUCUAGGCGGCUUAGUAAGUCUGAUGUGAAAAUGCGGGGCUCAACCCCGUAUUGCGUUGGAAACUGCUAAACUAGAGUACUGGAGAGGUAGGCGGAACUACAAGUGUAGAGGUGAAAUUCGUAGAUAUUUGUAGGAAUGCCGAUGGGGAAGCCCUCCUACUGGACAGAAACUCACGCUAAAGCGCGAAAGCGGGGGUAGCAAAAAGGAUUAGAUUCCCUGGUAAUCCACGCCGUAAACGAUGAUUACUAGGUGUUGGGGGUUGAACCUCAGCGCCCAAGCUAACGCGAUAAGUAAUCCGCCUGGGGAGUACGUACGCAAGUAUGAAACUCAAAGGAAUUGACGGGG